ACAUAACUGAUGCCUCCGCGUAUCGACUUUGUGCGCAUUUUAGCUAUUAUGUGUUCUUUUAAUUAAAAUGAUUCUUUUUAAGAUUCAUCUAUUAAAAAUUUGCUUCGGCAUAAUUUUUUUUGAUGAUCUUGUUACUUUGAGUAAAUUAGAGUGUUCAAAGCAAACAGAUAUAGCAUUUGUGCGUUUGAAUACUACAGCAUGGAAUAACAAAAUUGAACAAGUCAGAAUUUUUUUGUUCUUUUUUCUUAUUUUGGCUUAGUUACGAUUAAUAGGAGUAGCUUGGGGGCAUUUGUAUUCAGAUGUCAGAGGUGAAAUUCUUAGAUUUUCUGGAGACAAACAACUGCGAAAGCAUUUGCCUAAAAUACUUCCAUUAAUCAAGAACGAAAGUUAAGGGAGUGAAGACGAUCAGAUACCGUCGUAAUCUUAACCAUAAACUAUGCCGACUAGGCUUUGGAUGAAAGAUUUUAAAAUAAGAGUUUUUCUUUUCUCUCCGGAGAUUAGAACUCUUAGAUUGCUUCCUUCAGUGCCUUAUGAGAAAUCAAAGUCUUUGGGUUCUGGGGCGAGUAUUCGCGCAAGCGAGAAAGUUAAAAGAAUUGACGGAAGGGCACCACCAGGCGUGGAGCUUGCGGCUUAAUUUGACUCAACACGGGAAAACUCACUAGUUUAAGACAAGAGUAGGAUUGACAGAUUAAUAGCUCUUUCUUGAUUUCUUGGAUGGUGAUGCAUGGCCGUUUUUAGUUCGUGAAUAUGAUUUGUCUGGUUAAUUCCGAUAACGAACGAGAUCUUAACCUGCUAAUUAGCGGCAAAUACGAUAUAUUCUUAUGUAGAAUUGAAUAUAGUGGAUUUGUUGGAUUUUGAAGAAAAUAUUGGAAUUACGUUUAAAUGUGAUUCCUUUCCCUUUUCUACUUAAUUUGCAUUUCCAUCUAUUUCUUUUUUGCGUAUGAAUGUAUUUGCUUGAUUGUAAAGCUUCUUAGAGGAACGAUGUGUG
Molecule: ribosomal RNA, 988 nt
Filed under: Plasmodium knowlesi
Lineage: Eukaryota; Apicomplexa; Aconoidasida; Haemosporida; Plasmodiidae
Description: SSU rRNA
Rfam family: Eukaryotic small subunit ribosomal RNA
Source: RNAcentral